Molecule: ribosomal RNA, 406 nt
Filed under: uncultured bacterium
Lineage: Bacteria
Description: partial 16S ribosomal RNA
Rfam family: Bacterial small subunit ribosomal RNA
Source: RNAcentral
AUUGAACGCUGGCGGUAGGCCUAACACAUGCAAGUCGAACGAGUGGCGGACGGGUGAGUAAUGUAUGGGAACCUGCCCAAUAGAGGGGGAUAACUAAUGGAAACGGUGGCUAAUACCGCAUACUAUAGGAUGAACCCAAAUGGGAUUAGCUAGUUGGUGGGGUAAAGGCUCACCUAGACGACCAUCUGUAGCUGGUCUGAGAGGAUGAUCAGCCACACUGGGACUGAGACACGGCCCAGACUCCUACGGGAGGUAGCAGGGGGGAAUAUUGAACAAUGGGCGCAAGCCUGAUGCAGCCAUGCCGCGUGUAUGAAGAAGGCCUUAGGGUUGUAAAGUACUUUCAGCGGUGAGGCGGUACCCGCAGAAGAAGCACCGGCUAACUCCGUGCCAGCAGCCGCGGUAAUAC